UACACAUGUGUGUACAUGUGUUUUGUUAUUGUAAUUACUAAUAACACAACAUGUGUUGUGUGAAUGAAUUUCGUAAUACAGACAAGAAAAUAACUUUACGUGCACAUAUUUUUUGUGGUUAUGUUUGUUUUUUAAUGAUCAUAUGUAAAGUACAUACAUAUAUUCAACUGUCAGAGAUGUGCAUAUGUAAAGCAUAUAUAUUCAUACUAAAAAACAUUAGUUAAAUUGACCGUUUUCUUCUCCAUAUAGUAAAAUUAGUAAUACUUUUGAUGAGGGUGACUUUUCGGCUGAUGGCAACGUUCCCGACUGGAUCCCGACUUUAUACCAGAAAAGCCAUCGCGUAAGCGAAGAUUACAUCUGGACGAACCUUCUUCAUCCAAAGUGGCACGGGUCAACGCCAUACCGUCCAGCAACAUAUUUUGCUCCGAAUUUUAUACGGAUGUGAAACAAUUUUGUUCUUAUGUUUGUGAAGUGCUGUAUUGUGUGUUGCGUUUAUGUAUUUUUAAUAACAAAAUAAUUUUUUAGUAGAGGUUGAAAUUUCUGGCAAAGUCUCAGUGGAAGCGAAGUGUUCUGCCUCUGGUUGUGGACGUAUCAUAAAGGGGGCCGGGGGAGUUACCUCCAAUUUCAUCAAACAUUUGAGACGAAGACAUAGCGAGUUAUUUGAGAAGUAUAAGAUUGUGAAGACUCUCAAAUCAGAUAUUCAAACCGCACAACAGAAGUUUGAAAAGAAACUUCUUUUCGCUAUCGUUGAUUGCAGUCUGCCUGUUUCACUUUUUGAACGUCGCUCUUUCCGAGACUCAUAUGAAAUGACUGGACUUAAAGUUCGCAGCAGGCAGACAGCCAUGAUGAUAUUGGAGGACCAAUAUAAUAGCACGUUGGAGAAAAUACGAGCUGAUAUCUCAUCAGCUAAGUAUUUUUGUACAACGGCCGACAUAUGGUCGGGUAAUCACCGCAGCUUCUUCAGAUCCACGUGCCACUGGUUGGUGCUUUAGCUUGCAGGAGACUGACUGGUACACAUUCAUCCGAAAAACUGACGCAGGUCAUUAGCGACAUUAACAGCUCCUUUGGACUACAGUAUAUUUUACUUAGCUGCCCAUCAUUCUUUGCACGAAAAACUUGUGCGCUUAA
Molecule: long non-coding RNA, 1128 nt
Organism: Rhagoletis pomonella (apple maggot)
Lineage: Eukaryota; Metazoa; Arthropoda; Insecta; Diptera; Tephritidae
Exons: 3
Source: RefSeq, a predicted model, not a curated record